This is a non-coding RNA of Calypte anna (Anna's hummingbird), 114 nucleotides long. The record is from Rfam. Lineage: Eukaryota; Metazoa; Chordata; Aves; Apodiformes; Trochilidae.
GUGGGCUACGGGGACAUGCACCCCAUCACCAUCGGGGGCAAGAUCGUGGGCUCUCUCUGUGCCAUCGCGGGGGUGCUGACCAUCGCCCUCCCCGUCCCCGUCAUCGUCUCCAAU